UUUCUCUUUCCCCUCUUCUCUCACUUCCUUUCUCUCAUUUUUCUCCCCCGUCUGGGCAAGCCGGCCAACGGGGCAAGGCGGGAGGAGGUCGGGCGACCGGCGACGGGCGACGCGGCGGCGGCAGCAGCGUCGACGGCGACAACGUGGGAGCAGGAGGGUUGCCCCCCACGCCGUCGGCCUCCGUCGCCUCUCCACCAGCUGCCAUGGAUAACGACGGCGGCCUCCUUGCUCUCCCCGUCGCCGUUGUCCGAGGAAACUAAUGUCACACUCAGUGGCGUAAUCCCUGACCAACUCCACUAUCGCCACCUCUUUCGCCAGAGAAAGGUGGAGGCAUUCAGGGCAGCGAGGCAGCCGCGGACAUUACUCAGAGCGGUGCCGGCGGCGCUGCAACUGGAGGAGUAAGCUGCGGCGGCGGCCGCUAGGCGGACGGAGUGGUCAGAUACCGAGACCUCGAGCUCCGCGUAACGCCCGCGGAUCUCGGCCUCGACGUUGGCGGCCACGGCGAGGUCGGCUUGCGAGCAGAAGCGGGAGUCAAGGAAACGGCGGAGCUCCGGGGUGAUGUCCGCGGGUCGCGAGAGCUGACGGAGGCCAGCGACGUGGGAGGACUGGCGCGGGAGGAUGAGGCGGAGGCGGACGGCGCCGACGGGGAACGCGAUGGGGAGAGCGAGGAAGCUGCCGUCGUCAUCCAGGCCGCGAUCUGGCGCCCGCGCCGUUGGCGGCAGCAGUGGCGGCGGCGUGGGGGGCGUCCCUCCUGCUCUCACGUCAUUGCCGCCGCCGCGUCGCCCGUCGUUGGUCGCCGGCCACCCGACCUCCUCCUCUCCCGCCUCGCCCGCCGGUCGGCUUGCCCAUACGGAGGAGAAAAAUGAGAGAGAGGAAGGCAGAGAAGAGGGGAAAGAGAAAUAGUGAUGACGUGGUCACCCAGACAGGUGGGUCCUAUGCUGACUCAGCUGUCACGUUGGAGAAAACCGGGCACAAAACCACCAAGGAAACUAAUAUGAACGGUUUUGCAAGUUGAAUGAUGUUCUAUAUCUGGUUUUGUGGUUAAGGGACGAUUUUGUAACCCGAUGACAAGUUAAGGGACCUUCGGUGUACUUUUUCCGCCGUUUGGUUAUUGUUUCUCAAAGGAAUAAGUUACUUUACGUACG
Non-coding RNA from Oryza sativa Japonica Group (Japanese rice), 1145 nucleotides. Lineage: Eukaryota; Viridiplantae; Streptophyta; Magnoliopsida; Poales; Poaceae. The record is from RefSeq and is a predicted model, not a curated record.